CGGGGGAGGCGGGAUCCUGGGCUAUGUCCUGGCGCCCAGUGCUCCGGGGCCUGCGCUGUUGGAUUCGCGCUCCCGCCCCGCAGCCCCCU
RNAcentral lists this microRNA precursor (89 nucleotides) under Canis lupus dingo (dingo). RNAcentral describes it as "mir-8799 microRNA precursor family". It matches the Rfam family "mir-8799 microRNA precursor family". Lineage: Eukaryota; Metazoa; Chordata; Mammalia; Carnivora; Canidae. The record is from Rfam by way of RNAcentral.